AGUGAACGCUGGCGGCAGGCCUAACACAUGCAAGUCGAACGGCAGCACAGUAAGAGCUUGCUCUUAUGGGUGGCGAGUGGCGGACGGGUGAGGAAUACAUCGGAAUCUACUCUUUCGUGGGGGAUAACGUAGGGAAACUUACGCUAAUACCGCAUACGACCUACGGGUGAAAGCGGAGGACCUUCGGGCUUCGCGCGAUUGAAUGAGCCGAUGUCGGAUUAGCUAGUUGGCGGGGUAAAGGCCCACCAAGGCGACGAUCCGUAGCUGGUCUGAGAGGAUGAUCGAGCCACACUAGGAACUGAGACACGGUCCAGACCUCCGUACGGGAGGCAGCAGGUAGGGG
Molecule: ribosomal RNA, 343 nt
Filed under: uncultured bacterium
Lineage: Bacteria
Description: bacterial SSU rRNA
Rfam family: Bacterial small subunit ribosomal RNA
Source: RNAcentral